GACGAACGCUGGCGGCGUGCUUAACACAUGCAAGUCGAACGGAAAGGCCCUGCUUUUGUGGGGUGCUCGAGUGGCGAACGGGUGAGUAACACGUGAGUAACCUGCCCUUGACUUUGGGAUAACUUCAGGAAACUGGGGCUAAUACCGGAUAGGAGCUCCUGCUGCAUGGUGGGGGUUGGAAAGUUUCGGCGGUUGGGGAUGGACUCGCGGCGUAUCAGCUUGUUGGUGGGGUAGUGGCUUACCAAGGCUUUGACGGGUAGCCGGCCUGAGAGGGUGAACGGCCACAUUGGGACUGAGAUAGGGCCCAGACGCCUACGGGAGGCAGCAGUGGGGAAUAUUGCACAAUGAGCGGAAGCCUGAUGCAGCAACGCCGCGUGCGGGAUGACGGCCUUCGGGUUGUAAACCGCUUUCGCCUGUGACGAAGCGUGAGUGACGGUAAUGGGUAAAGAAGCAACGGCUAACUACGUG
RNAcentral lists this ribosomal RNA (468 nucleotides) under uncultured bacterium. RNAcentral describes it as "partial 16S ribosomal RNA". It matches the Rfam family "Bacterial small subunit ribosomal RNA", at positions 28 to 507 of the family's 1533-position model. The record is from RNAcentral.